RNAcentral lists this ribosomal RNA (373 nucleotides) under uncultured organism. RNAcentral describes it as "partial 16S ribosomal RNA". It matches the Rfam family "Bacterial small subunit ribosomal RNA", at positions 527 to 896 of the family's 1533-position model. The record is from RNAcentral.
GUAGGUGGCAAGCGUUGUCCGGAAUUAUUGGGCGUAAAGCGCGCGCAGGCGGUCCUUUAAGUCUGAUGUGAAAGCCCACGGCUCAACCGUGGAGGGUCAUUGGAAACUGGGGGACUUGAGUACAGAAGAGGAAAGCGGAAUUCCAAGUGUAGCGGUGAAAUGCGUAGAGAUUUGGAGGAACACCAGUGGCGAAGGCGGCUUUCUGGUCUGUAACUGACGCUGAGGCGCGAAAGCGUGGGGAGCAAACAGGGAUUAGAUACCCUGGUAGUCCACGCCGUAAACGAUGAGUGCUAAGUGUUAGGGGGUUUCCCGCCCCUUAGUGCUGCAGCUAACGCAUUAAGCACUCCGCCUGGGAAGUACGGCCGCAAGGCUG